GCCUGUAGUCCCAGCUACUCAGGAGGCUGAGGUGGGAGGAAUGCUUGAGCCCAGGAGUUUAGGGCUGUAGUGCACUAUGCCAAUCAAAUCUCCGCACUAAGUUCAGCAUCAAUAUGGUGACCUCCCAGGAGCAGGGAACCACCAGGUUGCCUAAGAAGGGGUGAACUGGCACAGGUCAGAAACAGAGCAGGUCAAAACUCCUGUGCUCAUCAGUAGUGGGACCACACCCAUGAAUAGCCACUGCACUCCAGCCUGGGCAACAUAGCGAGACCCUGUCUCU
This 280-nucleotide signal recognition particle RNA is filed under the name Cebus imitator (Panamanian white-faced capuchin). RNAcentral's name for it is "Metazoan signal recognition particle RNA (ENSCCAG00000005885.1)". It matches the Rfam family "Metazoan signal recognition particle RNA". From Rfam's summary of the family: The signal recognition particle (SRP) is a universally conserved ribonucleoprotein. Lineage: Eukaryota; Metazoa; Chordata; Mammalia; Primates; Cebidae. The record is from RNAcentral.